GAGGGUAUAACUGAAGUGGUAGAGCGCAUGCUUAGCAUGCAUGAGGUCCUGGGUUCAAUUUCUAGUAUCUCCA
Molecule: transfer RNA, 73 nt
Filed under: Camelus bactrianus (Bactrian camel)
Lineage: Eukaryota; Metazoa; Chordata; Mammalia; Artiodactyla; Camelidae
Also listed under: 3 other names
Rfam family: tRNA
About the family: Transfer RNA (tRNA) molecules are approximately 80 nucleotides in length. Their secondary structure includes four short double-helical elements and three loops (D, anti-codon, and T loops).
Source: Rfam by way of RNAcentral